Molecule: ribosomal RNA, 219 nt
Filed under: uncultured bacterium
Lineage: Bacteria
Description: partial 16S ribosomal RNA
Rfam family: Bacterial small subunit ribosomal RNA
Source: RNAcentral
UGGGUAAUCUACCUUUUGGUGGGGAAUACCCCUGGGAAACUAGGGAUAAUACCGCAUAAGUCCGCAAGGAGAAAGUCGCAAGACGCCGAUAGAGGAGCCCGCGGCCGAUUAGCUAGUUGGUGAGGUAAUGGCUCACCAAGGCUUCGAUCGGUAGCCGGCCUGAGAGGGCACACGGCCACACUGGCACUGAAACACGGGCCAGACUCCUACGGGAGGCAG